Molecule: ribosomal RNA, 476 nt
Filed under: uncultured bacterium
Lineage: Bacteria
Description: partial 16S ribosomal RNA
Rfam family: Bacterial small subunit ribosomal RNA
Source: RNAcentral
UGAACGCUGACGGCGUGCCUAACACAUGCAAGUCGAGCGAGAAAGCCCUUUCGGGGGUGAGUACAGCGGCGGACGGGUGAGUACAGCGUAAGAAUUUACCCUUCAGUGAGGAAUACCCUCGAGAAAUUGAGGUUAAUACCGCAUACGUCUUGCGAGAGAAAGGUGCCGGUUUUCCGGUGCCGCUGAAGGAUAAGCUUGCGUGCUAUUAGCUUGUUGGUGGGGUAAAGGCCUACCAAGGCGAUGAUGGCUAGCCGGCCUGAGAGGGUGUACGGCCACACUGGAACUUAGACACGGUCCAGACUCCUACGGGAGGCAGCAGUGGGGAAUAUUGCGCAAUGGGCGAAAGCCUGACGCAGCGACGUCGUGUGGAGGAUGACGGUCUUCGGAUUGUAAACUCCUGUUAAGUGGGAAGAAAGUCCCGUUCUUAAUAAGGAUGGGUUAUGACGGUACCAUUAGAGAAAGCACCGGCUAACUUC